RNAcentral lists this ribosomal RNA (646 nucleotides) under Pediococcus pentosaceus. RNAcentral describes it as "bacterial SSU rRNA". It matches the Rfam family "Bacterial small subunit ribosomal RNA", at positions 64 to 679 of the family's 1533-position model. The record is from RNAcentral. Lineage: Bacteria; Bacillati; Bacillota; Bacilli; Lactobacillales; Lactobacillaceae.
UAUUGAUUAUGACGUACUUGUACUGAUUGAGAUUUUAACACGAAGUGAGUGGCGAACGGGUGAGUAACACGUGGGUAACCUGCCCAGAAGUAGGGGAUAACACCUGGAAACAGAUGCUAAUACCGUAUAACAGAGAAAACCGCAUGGUUUUCUUUUAAAAGAUGGCUCUGCUAUCACUUCUGGAUGGACCCGCGGCGUAUUAGCUAGUUGGUGAGGUAAAGGCUCACCAAGGCAGUGAUACGUAGCCGACCUGAGAGGGUAAUCGGCCACAUUGGGACUGAGACACGGCCCAGACUCCUACGGGAGGCAGCAGUAGGGAAUCUUCCACAAUGGACGCAAGUCUGAUGGAGCAACGCCGCGUGAGUGAAGAAGGGUUUCGGCUCGUAAAGCUCUGUUGUUAAAGAAGAACGUGGGUAAGAGUAACUGUUUACCCAGUGACGGUAUUUAACCAGAAAGCCACGGCUAACUACGUGCCAGCAGCCGCGGUAAUACGUAGGUGGCAAGCGUUAUCCGGAUUUAUUGGGCGUAAAGCGAGCGCAGGCGGUCUUUUAAGUCUAAUGUGAAAGCCUUCGGCUCAACCGAAGAAGUGCAUUGGAAACUGGGAGACUUGAGUGCAGAAGAGGACAGUGGAACUCCAUGGGUUAGC